This 1682-nucleotide long non-coding RNA is filed under the name Betta splendens (Siamese fighting fish). RNAcentral's name for it is "lncRNA (ENSBSLG00000024103.1)". The record is from RNAcentral. Lineage: Eukaryota; Metazoa; Chordata; Actinopteri; Anabantiformes; Osphronemidae.
GCUCAGAGACUGAGACAGAGAAGAACGAUGUCUGAACUCAGUCACAUUCAAAUGUUAGUGUUUCUGAUCCUGAUGCUUCAGUUCACAGGUGAGGAAACAUUUAACAGCAUCAAGUCAUUGAUCUUAGUUCACACUAACUGUCAGAGUUUUGUUGAUGCUUUGAUCUAAAAUCAUCUUUUAUGUUUUGUUUAUUUUUCAUCUACAGUCACUGAACAACUUUCCUCCUCUGUCGCUCUAAGAGCUGGAAACGACGUCACUUUGGUUUGUGAUCGUGUGAAAGAUGAACAGGAUGAAUGUCAGAACAUACAAUGGAUCUACAUUGAUGCAGCUCACACCAGAACUGAUGGACUGGUUAGAAAUGGACAGAUUGUAGCAUCCAGAUCAAACAGACUGAGACUUGGAGAGAAAUGUUCUCUGGUCAUAAAGAACGUCACAGAUCAGGAUGCUGGUCGUUACGUCUGCAGACGAGGUGGAGAAUCUGACGUUUAUCUGUCUGUUGUUACAUGUGAGUAUUUACAUCAUUGUGUUUUCAGCUCAAACUGUUUUGUUACAACAACAAUUUUAAUGAAACAGUUAGAAUGUAAGUGUGAAGUUAAAUUUAACUUAAUUUGUUUUAACAUUAUUUCUUCACCAGUGACUAAAUAUAAGAUAGAACAUAGGACCACCUUCUACUGUUACACGUCAACACAUAAAGACUGUGAACCAUCAGUGAAGUGGCUGAAUCAGGAUAAAGUGAUUAUAGGUAACAGAGACCUGAAGGCAUCACAGACUCGCUACUACGCUGUCGUGUCUUUUGAGGAUUCUCAACGUAUUCACUCAUCAGUGAUGAACUCGUUAACGUGUGAAGUGACUGAUUGUAAAAGUAACGUUCAUCAGUUUCUCUUCAGACCAGAUAAACAUGUAAAACCAGCAACUACAGAAUCAUCUACUUCAGUAACAACAGUCAGAAUCUCACCUACAACAGUCACUGAACAACUUUCCUCCUCUGUCGCUGUCAGAGCUGGAGACGACGUCACUUUGGUUUGUGAACGUGUGAAUGAUGAACAGGAUGAAUGUCAGAACAUAGAAUGGUUCUACAAUGGUGCAGCUCACAUGAGAACAGAUGCUCUGGUUAGAAAUGGACAGAUUGUAGCAUCCAGAUCAAACAGACUGAGACUUGGAGACAAAUGUUCUCUGGUCAUAAAGAACGUCACAGAUCAGGAUGUUGGUCGUUACUCCUGCAGACGAGAUGGAGACUCUGUGGUUUAUCUGUCUGUUGUUACAUGUGAGUAUUUACAUCAUUGUGUUUUCAGCUCAAACUGUUUUGUUACAACAACAAUUUUAAUGAAAGUUAUAAAACAAGUGUAAAGUUAAUUUGUUUCUUUGUUUUAACAUUAUUUCUUCACCAGUGACUGACUAUAAGCUACAACAUACGAUCAACGCCUACUGUUUUGUGUCAACACAUAAAGACUGUGAACCAUCAGUGAAGUGGCUGAAUCAGGAUAAAGUGUUUAUAGGUCACAGAGACCUGAAGGCAUCACAGACUCACUACUACGCCUUCAUGUCUUUUGAGAAUCUUCAACAUAUUCACUCUUCAGUGAUGAACUCGUUAACGUGUGAAGUGACUGAUUGUAAAAGCAACGUUCAUCAGUUUCUCUUCAGACCAGGUGAGAAAAUAAAGAACUGUUCAUUAUUAAACUCCA